AGCAGCCGCGGUAAUUCCAGCUCCAAUAGCGUAUAUUAAAGUUGUUGCAGUUAAAAAGCUCGUAGUUGAAUUUCGGGAUCAAUAUAUCGGUCGUGCCUCCGGUAUGCACUGGUAUUAUUGAUUUCUACCUUCUGACGAAUCAUGAUGUCAUUAAUUUGGUGUCAUGGGGAAUCAGGACUGUUACUUUGAAAAAUUAGAGUGUUUAAAGCAGGCACACGCUUGAAUACAUUAGCAUGGAAUAAUGAAAUAGGACGUUUGACCCUAUUUUGUUGGUUUCUAGGAUCGACGUAAUGAUUAAUAGGGAUAGUUGGGGGCAUUAGUAUUCAAUUGUCGGAGGUGAAAUUCUUGGAUUUAUUGAAGACUAACUACUGCGAAAGCAUUUGCCAAGGAUGUUUUCAUUAAUCAAGAACGAAAGUUAGGGGAUCGAAGACGAUCAGAUACCGUCGUAGUCUUAACCAUAAACUAUGCCGACUAGGGAUCGGAUGAUGUUAAUUUUUAAUGACUCAUUC
Molecule: ribosomal RNA, 509 nt
Filed under: uncultured Glomeromycotina
Lineage: Eukaryota; Fungi; Glomeromycota
Description: SSU rRNA
Rfam family: Eukaryotic small subunit ribosomal RNA
Source: RNAcentral